GUAGUUUAUGUAUAUUUAGUAUAUGGUAGAGCAUGAGACUCUUAAUCUCAGGGUUGUGGGUUCGAGCCCCACAUUCGACA
Podarcis lilfordi (Lilford's wall lizard) is the source of this 80-nucleotide non-coding RNA. The record is from the annotation of a GenBank genome assembly. Lineage: Eukaryota; Metazoa; Chordata; Lepidosauria; Squamata; Lacertidae.